This 823-nucleotide long non-coding RNA is filed under the name Chinchilla lanigera (long-tailed chinchilla). RNAcentral describes it as "lncRNA (ENSCLAG00000029283.1)". The record is from RNAcentral. Lineage: Eukaryota; Metazoa; Chordata; Mammalia; Rodentia; Chinchillidae.
UGAUUAUUGUAGAUAUGUAAUACACUUUGAAGUCCAGGAGUGUAAUACCUCCAGCUUUAUUUUUCUUUAUUAAGAUUGCUUUGACUAUCUGGGAAAUUUUCUGGCUCCAUAUAAACUUUAGAAUUUUUUUUCCAUUUCUGUGAAAAGUGCCCUUGGAAUUUCUAUAAGGAUUGCAUUGAACCUGUAGAUUAUAUAGUACAGUAUGGAUAAUUCAACAUUGUUGAUUCUUCCAAUCCAUGAACAUGGGACACCUGUCUUUUUCUUUGUAUCCUAUUUCUUAUUUCCCUUGUUACCUUUUUAUACCCACUUAAAUAGGAAAAUGAUCACUGCUGUCCAAUUAAAUCUCAUAAAAUAGAAAACAUUGUAUAAUUUUGAAUUUUUUUCAUUUCUUUUUUGAGUCAGAGUCUCACUAUGUUGUGCAGGCUGCCCUUGAACUCAAAGUGAUCCUCCUGCCUCAGUCUCUCAAGUGCUGGGAUUAUAGGCAUGUGCCACCACACCCGGCUUUAGAAUGUUUUUGUGCAGAUGCUGUGGAGGUGCCACAAAGUACCUCGAAGUUCACUGAAUGCAGGAGUCUGUUAGAGAAGGAGUGUAUGCAAUGAAGACUAAACUAGAUCACGUGCAGUUUAAACAAAAAAUACAACUCUGCUUCUUAGGAAGAGUUUCAUCGGCCCUGAACACCAGAGGAUACUUUAAGGAUGUGCAAACCACUCCUCCCUCAAGAGAUGAUGAAGCAAGCCUCCUUGAGUGGAAUCUCCAGCUAGUAUUCCAGGAGGGCUAUGCAUUAAAACAUAGAGAGGAAACAGAAAAGAAACUGCCCAACUGA